Molecule: transfer RNA, 72 nt
Filed under: Alphaproteobacteria bacterium GM202ARS2
Lineage: Bacteria; Pseudomonadati; Pseudomonadota; Alphaproteobacteria
Description: tRNA-Thr
Rfam family: tRNA
About the family: Transfer RNA (tRNA) molecules are approximately 80 nucleotides in length. Their secondary structure includes four short double-helical elements and three loops (D, anti-codon, and T loops).
Source: RNAcentral
GCCGUCGUAGCUCAGGGGUAGAGCGCACCCUUGGUAAGGGUGAGGUCGGUGGUUCAAUUCCACCCGACGGCA